This 253-nucleotide ribosomal RNA is filed under the name uncultured bacterium. RNAcentral's name for it is "partial 16S ribosomal RNA". It matches the Rfam family "Bacterial small subunit ribosomal RNA", at positions 524 to 776 of the family's 1533-position model. The record is from RNAcentral.
UACGUAGGGCGCAAGCGUUAUCCGGAAUUAUUGGGCGUAAAGCGCGCGUAGGCGGUUACUUAAGUCGGAUGUGAAAGCCCUCGGCUUAACUGAGGAAGUGCACCCGAAACUGAGUAGCUAGAGUACGAAAGAGGGUCGCGGAAUUCCCGGUGUAGAGGUGAAAUUCGUAGAUAUCGGGAGGAACACCGGUGGCGAAGGCGGCGACCUGGGUCGAGACUGACGCUGAGGCGCGAAAGCGUGGGGAGCAAACAGG